This 882-nucleotide ribosomal RNA is filed under the name Bacillus safensis. Its description in RNAcentral is "bacterial SSU rRNA". It matches the Rfam family "Bacterial small subunit ribosomal RNA", at positions 23 to 887 of the family's 1533-position model. Lineage: Bacteria; Bacillati; Bacillota; Bacilli; Caryophanales; Bacillaceae. The record is from RNAcentral.
CUCAGGACCGACGCUGGCGGCGUGCCUAAUACAUGCAAGUCGAGCGGACAGAAGGGAGCUUGCUCCCGGAUGUUAGCGGCGGACGGGUGAGUAACACGUGGGUAACCUGCCUGUAAGACUGGGAUAACUCCGGGAAACCGGAGCUAAUACCGGAUAGUUCCUUGAACCGCAUGGUUCAAGGAUGAAAGACGGUUUCGGCUGUCACUUACAGAUGGACCCGCGGCGCAUUAGCUAGUUGGUGGGGUAAUGGCUCACCAAGGCGACGAUGCGUAGCCGACCUGAGAGGGUGAUCGGCCACACUGGGACUGAGACACGGCCCAGACUCUUACGGGAGGCAGCAGUAGGGAAUCUUCCGCAAUGGACGAAAGUCUGACGGAGCAACGCCGCGUGAGUGAUGAAGGUUUUCGGAUCGUAAAGCUCUGUUGUUAGGGAAGAACAAGUGCGAGAGUAACUGCUCGCACCUUGACGGUACCUAACCAGAAAGCCACGGCUAACUACGUGCCAGCAGCCGCGGUAAUACGUAGGUGGCAAGCGUUGUCCGGAAUUAUUGGGCGUAAAGGGCUCGCAGGCGGUUUUUUAAGUCUGAUGUGAAAGCCCCCGGCUCAACCGGGGAGGGUCAUUGGAAACUGGGAAACUUGAGUGCAGAAGAGGAGAGUGGAAUUCCACGUGUAGCGGUGAAAUGCGUAGAGAUGUGGAGGAACACCAGUGGCGAAGGCGACUCUCUGGUCUGUAACUGACGCUGAGGAGCGAAAGCGUGGGGAGCGAACAGGAUUAGAUACCCUGGUAGUCCACGCCGUAAACGAUGAGUGCUAAGUGUUAGGGGGUUUCCGCCCCUUAGUGCUGCAGCUAACGCAUUAAGCACUCCGCCUGGAGACGCCGGUG